GCCUCGAUGGCGCUGUAGGCAGUGCGUAAGUCUCAUAAUCUUAAGGUCGUGAGUUUGAGCCUCACUCGGGGCA
Lucilia cuprina (Australian sheep blowfly) is the source of this 73-nucleotide transfer RNA. It matches the Rfam family "tRNA". Rfam says of the family: Transfer RNA (tRNA) molecules are approximately 80 nucleotides in length. The record is from Rfam. NCBI's taxonomy places the organism in Eukaryota, Metazoa, Arthropoda, Insecta, Diptera, Calliphoridae.